This 250-nucleotide ribosomal RNA is filed under the name uncultured bacterium. RNAcentral describes it as "partial 16S ribosomal RNA". It matches the Rfam family "Bacterial small subunit ribosomal RNA", at positions 524 to 772 of the family's 1533-position model. The record is from RNAcentral.
UACGAGUGCUCCAAGCGUUAUCCGGAAUUAUUGGGCGUAAAGGGUGUGUAGGCGGUCGUGUUAGUCUUCUGUGAAAUUCUCAGGCUUAACCUGAGACCCGCAGAGGAAACGGCACGACUUCGAGGAUGUGAGAGGUAAAUGGAACUCAUGGUGUAGGGGUGAAAUCCGUUGAUAUCAUGGGGAACACCACAUGCGAAGGCAAUUUACUGGCACAUUCCUGACGCUGAGACACGAAAGCGUAGGUAGCGAA